GGCCCCUGGCACAAUACUGACGCNUCANGGUGCGAAANGCGUGGGGAGCAAACAGGAUAGANUACCCUGGUAGUCCACGCCGUAAACGAUGUCUACUAGCUGUUCGUGGUCUUGUACUGUGAGUAGCGCAGCUAACGCACUAAGUAGACCGCCUGGGGAGUACGGUCGCAAGAUUAAAACUCAAAUGAAUUGACGGGGGCCCGCACAAGCGGUGGAGCAUGUGGUUUAAUUCGACGCAACGCGAAGAAACCUUACCUACUCUUGACAUCUAGCGAAGAUUGCAGAGAUGCAGUUGUGCCUUCGGGAACGCUAAGACAGGUGCUGCAUGGCUGUCGUCAGCUCGUGUUGUGAAAUGUUGGGUUAAGUCCCGCAACGAGCGCAACCCUUAUCCUUAGUUGCCAGCACGUAAUGGUGGGAACUCUAGGGAGACUGCCGGUGAUAAACCGGAGGAAGGUGGGGACGACGUCAAGUCAUCAUGGCCCUUACGAGUAGGGCUACACACGUGCUACAAUGGUACGUACAGAGGGAGGCAAGCUGGCGACAGUGAGCGGAUCUCUUAAAGCGUAUCGUAGUCCGGAUCGCAGUCUGCAACUCGACUGCGUGAAGUCGGGAUCGCUAGUAAUCGCAAAUCAGAAUGUUGCGGUGAAUACGUUCCCGGGCCUUGUACACACCGCCCGUCACACCAUGGGAGUGGGUUGCAAAAGAAGUAGGUAGCUUAACCUUCGGGAGGGCGCUUACCACUUUGUGAUUCAUGACUGGGGUGAAGUCGUAACAAGGUAACC
RNAcentral lists this ribosomal RNA (782 nucleotides) under uncultured Rheinheimera sp. Its description in RNAcentral is "bacterial SSU rRNA". It matches the Rfam family "Bacterial small subunit ribosomal RNA", at positions 724 to 1501 of the family's 1533-position model. Lineage: Bacteria; Pseudomonadati; Pseudomonadota; Gammaproteobacteria; Chromatiales; Chromatiaceae. The record is from RNAcentral.